Molecule: ribosomal RNA, 253 nt
Filed under: uncultured bacterium
Lineage: Bacteria
Description: partial 16S ribosomal RNA
Rfam family: Bacterial small subunit ribosomal RNA
Source: RNAcentral
UACGGGGGGGGCAAGCGUUGUUCGGAAUUACUGGGCGUGAAGGGCUCGUAGGCGGCCAACUAAGUCAGACGUGAAAUCCCCAGGCUCAACCUGAGAACUGCGUCUGAUACUGGAUGGCUUGAAUUCGGGAGAGGGAUGCAGAAUUCCAGGUGUAGCGGUGAAAUGCGUAGAUAUCCGGAGGAACACCGAUGGCGAAGGCAGCUUCCUGGCCCGUAUCUGACGCUGAGGUGCGAAAGCGUGGGGAGCGAACGGG